UAAGUUUGGUCCUAGCUUUAUUCUCAAUUGUUUCCCGAUUUACACAUGCAAGUCUCAGCAAUCCAGUGAAGACGCCCUUUUAACCUUCCCAGGACAAGGAGCUGGCAUCAGGCACAGAAUACUUGCCCACAACGCCUAGUCUCACCACACCUCCAAAGGUACUCAGCAGUGAUAAAGAUUGUCUAUAAGCGUAAGCUUGAAUCAGUCAGGGGAAAGAAGGCCGGCCAACCCGGUGCCAGCCGCCGCGGCUACACCGUUGGGCCCAAAUUGACAUUAAACGGCGUUAAGCGUGAUUAGAGAAUUUACAAAAAUUAGUAUUAAAUUUAAGCUUAGCUGUGAUAAACUUGCUAUUCAGAAACCCAAAAACGAAAGUUAUCCUAAUAUAAUUUCUUGAACACACGACAGUUUGGAAACAAACUGGGAUUAGGUACCCCACUAUGCCAAACCGUAAAAAUUUAACCCACACUCACCAACGCCAGGGCACUACGAGCUUUAGCUUAAAACCCAAAGGACUUGACGGUGUCCCACCCAACUAGAGGAGCCUGUUCUAUAAUCGAUAAUCCACGAUAUACCUGACCAUUUUUUGCCAAUCAGCCUGUAUACCUCCGUCGCAAGCCUACCAUGUGAACGUAUAAUAGUAGGCUCAAUGGCCUCAACGCCACAACGUCAGGUCAAGGUGCAGCUAAUGAAAUGGAAGCAAUGGGCUACAAUUUCUAAUUUAGAACAAACGAAACACUACAUGAAACAUAGUCAUGAAGGCGGAUUUAGAAGUAAGUAGGAAAUAGAGAGUCCUACUAAACUUGGCCAUGGGACGUGUACAAACCGCCCGUCACCCUCUUCAAUAGCCAUUAGUAAUAGUUCUUAACACUAACCCAGCGCCUUAGAAGAGGCAAGUCGUAACACGGUAAGUAUACUGGAAAGUGUGCUUGGAAUAA
RNAcentral lists this non-coding RNA (935 nucleotides) under Rhacophorus modestus. Its description in RNAcentral is "12S ribosomal RNA". It matches the Rfam family "Bacterial small subunit ribosomal RNA". The record is from RNAcentral. Lineage: Eukaryota; Metazoa; Chordata; Amphibia; Anura; Rhacophoridae.